RNAcentral lists this ribosomal RNA (496 nucleotides) under uncultured Glomeromycotina. RNAcentral describes it as "partial small subunit ribosomal RNA". It matches the Rfam family "Eukaryotic small subunit ribosomal RNA", at positions 591 to 1092 of the family's 1831-position model. Lineage: Eukaryota; Fungi; Glomeromycota. The record is from RNAcentral.
CCAAUAGCGUAUAUUAAAGUUGUUGCAGUUAAAAAGCUCGUAGUUGAAUUUCGGGGUUCUACCGUUGGUCGGGCAAUAGUCUGUACUGGCGUGUAGAAUUUCUACCUUCUGGGGAACCAUCAUGUUAUUUAUUUAGCGUGGUGGGAAACCAGGACCUUUACCUUGAAAAAAUUAGAGUGUUCAAAGCAGGCUUACGUCUGAAUACAUUAGCAUGGAAUAAUAAAAUAGGACGGUGGUCCUGUUUUGUUGGUUUCUGAAUCACCGUAAUGAUUAAUAGGGAUAGUUGGGGGCAGUAGUAUUCAAUUGUCAGAGGUGAAAUUCUUGGAUUUAUUGAAGACUAACUUCUGCGAAAGCAUUUGCCAAGGAUGUUUUCAUUAAUCAAGAACGAAAGUUAGGGGAUCGAAGACGAUCAGAUACCGUCGUAGUCUUAACCAUAAACUAUGCCGACUAGGGAUCGGACGAUGUUAAUUUUUCUUGACUCGUUCGGCGCCUUACG